CAUGUCCAGCGCCCCGUCCUGGGACCAGACCGCUCCAUCUGACACGUCCAGCGCCCCGUCCUGGGACCAGGCCGCGCCGUCCGACACGUCCAGCGCCCCGGUUACAGUGGGGUGUGGCAAUGGCCGUUACUCGAUAUAGCCCAGAAACAGCUGUAAGAACAGCGAACCUGCUCUCCUUAACGGCGGAUAACUGGGUGUAGGUUGGCAGCUCUACCCGGCAUUGUUAGCAUGCAGCAUUCACACUCCAGCCAGAUGUACCCCGCAAAGAGCCACUGCUUGCAGUGUCCGCGGUCAGGGUAGCUGAACUGGUGCUGAACGUGGUUUGGCUGCAACCACAGACAAGGAGCAGCUGUUUGGCGCUGGUGCUGCUGCACCUGGCCCUGCCGCUCGCUCGUUAUCACUCAGGACUUUCAGGUUUGCUUUUUUAAGGGAAAAACCUGACAGGCUAAUGGCCUCUUCUCCCCCCCCCCGUCCCCCUACGCAACCCUCCUUUCUUGGGGCAGAAGGUGCCUGAUAAGAAGCCGCUGGGUGUCAGGCUGGGGAAGGCAGACCCCCACUCAGACUAAAGCCUGUUCUGACUGGGGAGAUGGUGGUAGCUAGAGCAGAGAGGACGUCUAAGAUACUGCUCAUUACCUGAAAUGAUACAACGGGACCUGUCUCAACUGGCUCUUGCAGCAGAUGGGGACAUUCACACCCAAGUGAAAUGACCGACUGGCAGCAUCUGCGGAGGAUUCUUGGUCAAACCAGCACUAACUAAACAGGCUUCUCCCUCCCCAGAGACUCUCCUCUAGUGUGAAACUUGUUGCUGAUCAACAAUUCUGUCUAGAUGUGGGGGUGUCUUCGACAAGCACACGCACGUAUCAUGGCAAAGAAAUGAUUUUUCCUGGCUGGCUGCACAUGACAGGGACACUGUUAAGGCAUUACGUUUACUCCUUUAACAAAGACUUUUGGUGAUCUUCCAGUGUUCAAGGACAUUCCACUUUAUUUAACCUCUUCAGCACAACUGUGGUACACCCCCGCCUGGAACAGCCAUCACACAGUUACAAGAUGCAGUAUCUGGGACAAGGAGUUAACGCUUUAAUUCCCAACCCACUAAGUCCAAUAAAGCAUUGGCACUGCUCAGUUUUCAUAAAGAGAUUUUUGGCUAAUAUGAAACACAAGCAGAGAGGACUGUUACAGAGCUAACAGUGACUGAUAAGGGAUCUGAACCGCUUCUCCAUUUGAUUGCUAAGUAAUUUAGCAGAUUAUCUCCCCAGU
This is a long non-coding RNA of Chrysemys picta bellii (western painted turtle), 1257 nucleotides long. RefSeq lists it as uncharacterized. NCBI's taxonomy places the organism in Eukaryota, Metazoa, Chordata, Testudines, Emydidae. The record is from RefSeq and is a predicted model, not a curated record.